AGAGUUUGAUCCUGGCUCAGGAUGAACGCUAGCGGCGUGCCUUAUGCAUGCAAGUCGAACGGUCUUAAGCAAUUAAGAUAGUGGCGAACGGGUGAGUAACGCGUAAGUAACCUACCUCUAAGUGGGGGAUAGCUUCGGGAAACUGAAGGUAAUACCGCAUGUGGUGGACCGACAUAUGUUGGUUCACUAAAGCCGUAAGGCGCUUGGUGAGGGGCUUGCGUCCGAUUAGCUAGUUGGUGGGGUAAUGGCCUACCAAGGCUUCGAUCGGUAGCUGGUCUGAGAGGAUGAUCAGCCACACUGGGACUGAGCCACGGCCCAGACUCCUACGGGAGGCAGCAGCAAGGAAUCUUGGGCAAUGGGCGAAAGCCUGACCCAGCAACGCCGCGUGAGGGAUGAAGGCUUUCGGGUUGUAAACCUCUUUUCAUAGGGAAGAAUAAUGACGGUACCUGUGGAAUAAGCUUCGGCUAACUACGUGCCAGCAGCCGCGGUAAUACGUAGGAAGCAAGCGUUAUCCGGAUUUAUUGGGCGUAAAGUGAGCGUAGGUGGUCUUUCAAGUUGGAUGUGAAAUUUCCCGGCUUAACCGGGACGAGUCAUUCAAUACUGUUGGACUAGAGUACAGCAGGAGAAAACGGAAUUCCCGGUGUAGUGGUAA
RNAcentral lists this ribosomal RNA (652 nucleotides) under uncultured bacterium. Its description in RNAcentral is "bacterial SSU rRNA". It matches the Rfam family "Bacterial small subunit ribosomal RNA", at positions 8 to 684 of the family's 1533-position model. The record is from RNAcentral.